UACGUAGGGUGCGAGCGUUAAUCGGAAUUACUGGGCGUAAAGGGCGCGUAGGCGGCCACCGCAAGUCGACUGUGAAAUCUCCGGGCUUAACCCGGAAAGGUCAGCCGAUACUGCGGGGCUAGAGUGCAGAAGGGGCAACUGGAAUUCUCGGUGUAGCGGUGAAAUGCGUAGAUAUCGAGAGGAACACCUGCGGCGAAGGCGGGUUGCUGGGCUGACACUGACGCUGAGGCGCGAAAGCUAGGGGAGCGAACGGG
This 254-nucleotide ribosomal RNA is filed under the name uncultured bacterium. RNAcentral describes it as "partial 16S ribosomal RNA". It matches the Rfam family "Bacterial small subunit ribosomal RNA", at positions 524 to 776 of the family's 1533-position model. The record is from RNAcentral.